CGGGUCUAUCUGGGGCAGUUAAGUGAGAGUGAGGGAGCCCAGGGGCCGCCAGGGGCCUUAGCCCCUUGCUACGUGGCUUUGUGGAAAGGGUCCAGGCCUGACCCAGAUGAUUUCCAGGGCCAAGAUGCCAUGACGUCCUCCUCCUCAAAACUGCCCAGGGAACCGCAGGACCACCCCUUGCCCCUACCCCCGCCAAAGCUCCUGCAACGGUGUUUAGACUACCUGCUUUCCCGACCUGCGCGUCGUGUCUGGGAGGACUCCACACUUCUAAGAUGUCCAGAAUGGACUCAAACCUUCCUGCCCCUGCUUCCGGGCUCCGGGCUCCGAAGAAAGGCUCCCCGGGAGACAGAGGAGAAAUCAGCUGAAGCAGAACCAACAGAUGAUGGUCAGAAGCAACUCCGUGCAUGUACCUGUCUUCCAUGGAAAAUCUGGGUGACAAAGGUCACUGAGCCUCUGUGAUCCUGCGGAGACAGUCGGGUCUCAUUAACCCUUCUGUGGGUGUUUAGGAAAUGAGCACUGUGACGUUACAGUAGUUUGAUCUCUCUGAAGAACAGAUGCUAUAUAAGUCCAGUAAUUGCCACUUCCCGGUAUAUUCCCACAGGACACAGCCUCACUGAUGGCUGCCGACACACUGAGAAUUUAUAGAUAAUUAUUUUGAACAGCACCCGUAUAAUUUUAACAGCCCCAUGUAAUCUCAAUAUAUGUUAAAAAUCACUGCAAUGCAGAAAUUAAACAUAAAGAACCGU
This is a long non-coding RNA of Suricata suricatta (meerkat), 746 nucleotides long. RefSeq lists it as uncharacterized. Lineage: Eukaryota; Metazoa; Chordata; Mammalia; Carnivora; Herpestidae. The record is from RefSeq and is a predicted model, not a curated record. The transcript is spliced from 3 exons.